ACGCUCGACACCUACGGGAGGCAGCAGUGGGGAAUAUUGCACAAUGGGGGAAACCCUGAUGCAGCGACGCCGCGUGAGUGAAGAAGUAUUUCGGUAUGUAAAGCUCUAUCAGCAGGGAAGAAGAUGACGGUACCUGAGUAAGAAGCCCCGGCUAACUACGUGCCAGCAGCCACGGUAAUCUGAGCGGGCUGGCAAGGC
Molecule: ribosomal RNA, 198 nt
Filed under: uncultured bacterium
Lineage: Bacteria
Description: partial 16S ribosomal RNA
Rfam family: Bacterial small subunit ribosomal RNA
Source: RNAcentral